UACGAAGGGGGCUAGCGUUGUUCGGAAUUACUGGGCGUAAAGCGCGCGCAGGCGGUUUCUCAAGUCAGUGGUGAAAGCCCGGAGCUCAACUCCGGAACUGCCAUUGAAACUGUGAGACUUGAGGACGAGAGAGGUGAGUGGAAUUCCCAGUGUAGAGGUGAAAUUCGUAGAUAUUGGGAAGAACACCGGUGGCGAAGGCGGCUCACUGGCCCGAUACUGACGCUGAGGCACGAAAGCGUGGGGAGCAAACAGG
RNAcentral lists this ribosomal RNA (253 nucleotides) under uncultured bacterium. RNAcentral's name for it is "partial 16S ribosomal RNA". It matches the Rfam family "Bacterial small subunit ribosomal RNA", at positions 524 to 776 of the family's 1533-position model. The record is from RNAcentral.